UCCUAAGAGUCGGAUACUCUCACUGUUGACAUUGUUACUUCUCAAAGAGGGAAGGAGGGAGCGAAUCUUGCUUUUCAGGCCUCAGGACAGGACAAAAUGGACAAAAUGUACCAAAAUGGCAGCCUCAAGGCUGGAUUUUAUACCCUCUUGACACUAUUUCCCUUUGGGGCCUCAGGUUUGUCCCUGAACUUGAGUUUUCUCUCCUCUUUCCAACUCUAGGUGAUGCUCUUUGAAAUACACACUGGGAAAGGCAGUUCAGGCCGGGAAGCCAAGCUACAUUCCCUUCUGCUGGGCCUCGUCCUGGCUGGGCUUUGGGCAGCAACAUUCUCUGUCACAGAAGCCAGGGACCGGGUUAUGGCGAGGGUGCUCUGAAUGCCAAGAAGAGAGGAUGGAGAGGACUCGGGAUUUUCU
This 411-nucleotide long non-coding RNA is filed under the name Mustela putorius furo (domestic ferret). RNAcentral describes it as "lncRNA (ENSMPUG00000026570.1)". Lineage: Eukaryota; Metazoa; Chordata; Mammalia; Carnivora; Mustelidae. The record is from RNAcentral.